UUCCGGUUGAUCCCGCCGGAGGCUACCGCUAUUGGAGUUCGAUUAAGCCAUGCGAGUCCAGAGCUUUCGGAGCUCGGCGUACCGCUCAGUAACACGUGGGUAACCUAACCUAUGCAGGGGAAUAACCUCGGGAAACUGAGAAUAAUGCCCCAUAGUCCACUACGCCUGGAACGGUGAGUGGAUGAAAGCUCAGGCGGCAUAGGAUGGGCCUGCGGCGUAUCAGGUUGUAGGGGGUGUAAAGUACCCUCUAGCCCUCUACGCGUACGGGUGUUGGGAGACAUAGCCCGGAGAUGGAUUCUGAGACACGAAUCCAGACCCUACGGGGUGCAGCAGGCGCGAAAACUUGGCAAUGCGAGCAAUCGUGACCAGGGAACUCCAAGUGGCUGGGGUAAGACCCAGUCUUUUCAGAACUCUUCAAAGGUUUUAGAAUAAGGGGUGGGUAAGGACGGUGCCAGCCGCCGCGGUAAUACCGGCGCCUCAAGUGGUAGUCGCUUUUAUUGGGCCUAAAACGUCCGUAGCCGGUUUGGUACAUUCGUGGGUAAAUCAACUCGCUCAACGAGUUGAAUUCUGCGAGGACGGCCAGACUUGGGACCGGGAGAGGUGUGGGGUACUCUCAGGGUAGGGGUAAAAUCCUGUCAUCCUGAGAGGACCACCUGUUGCGAAGGCGCCACACUAGAACGGAUCCGACGGUCAGGGACGAAGCCUAGGGGCACGAACCGGAUUAGAUACCCGGGUAGUCCUAGGUGUAAACGCUGUGGACUUGAUGUUGGAGAAGCUCCGAGCUUCUUCAGUGUCGAAGCGAAGGUGAUAAGUCCACUGCCUGGGAAGUACGGUCGCAAGGCUGAAACUUAAAGGAAUUGGCGGGGGAGCACCGCAACCUGAGGAUUGUGCGGUUUAAUUGGAUUCAACGCCGGA
RNAcentral lists this ribosomal RNA (915 nucleotides) under uncultured marine archaeon. RNAcentral describes it as "bacterial SSU rRNA". It matches the Rfam family "Archaeal small subunit ribosomal RNA", at positions 1 to 922 of the family's 1478-position model. The record is from RNAcentral.